This 310-nucleotide ribosomal RNA is filed under the name uncultured Chlamydia sp. RNAcentral's name for it is "bacterial SSU rRNA". It matches the Rfam family "Bacterial small subunit ribosomal RNA", at positions 355 to 657 of the family's 1533-position model. The record is from RNAcentral. Lineage: Bacteria; Pseudomonadati; Chlamydiota; Chlamydiia; Chlamydiales; Chlamydiaceae.
UCGAGAAUCUUUCGCAAUGGGCGCAAGCCUGACGGAGCGACGCCGUGUGAGUGAAGAAGGCCUUCGGGUUGUAAAGCUCUUUCGCAUGGGAACAAGGGAGGUUAGCGAAUAACUAACCGACUUGAGAGUACUAAGUAAAGAAGCACCGGCUAACUCUGUGCCAGCAGCUGCGGUAAUACAGAGGGUGCAAGCGUUAAUCGGAAUUAUUGGGCGUAAAGGACGCGUAGGCGGAGAUGUAAGUCAGAUGUGAAAUUCCAGAGCUCAACUUUGGAGCUGCAUGAGAAACUGCAUUUCUAGAGGAUAGGCGGGG